GCCCUUGUGACGGAACUGCCAGACGUGUGGCUUCAGAGACCAGAUUUUGUGGGUUCGACUCCCACCAAGGGUA
This 73-nucleotide transfer RNA is filed under the name Leptolyngbya sp. Cla-17. It matches the Rfam family "tRNA". From Rfam's summary of the family: Transfer RNA (tRNA) molecules are approximately 80 nucleotides in length. Their secondary structure includes four short double-helical elements and three loops (D, anti-codon, and T loops). Further hydrogen bonds mediate the characteristic L-shaped molecular structure. tRNAs have two regions of fundamental functional importance: the anti-codon, which is responsible for specific mRNA codon recognition, and the 3' end, to which the tRNAs corresponding amino acid is attached (by aminoacyl-tRNA synthetases). tRNAs cope with the degeneracy of the genetic code in two manners: having more than one tRNA (with a specific anti-codon) for a particular amino acid; and 'wobble' base-pairing, i.e. permitting non-standard base-pairing at the 3rd anti-codon position. Lineage: Bacteria; Bacillati; Cyanobacteriota; Cyanophyceae; Leptolyngbyales; Leptolyngbyaceae. The record is from Rfam by way of RNAcentral.